Molecule: long non-coding RNA, 1473 nt
Organism: Eurytemora carolleeae
Lineage: Eukaryota; Metazoa; Arthropoda; Copepoda; Calanoida; Temoridae
Exons: 3
Source: RefSeq, a predicted model, not a curated record
AAUCUGAAUGUGUGACGAUGGUUGAUGUAAACCUCCUUUAUUGGUCAGAAUAUCUUGGAACAGAAAAAAUAAAAAUGGAUUAGUGAAUGGAUUAGUGAACGGAUUUACAUGAGAUAAAGUGAAUUAAAUUCUUGAGAAGAAUUGAAGAAGUUUGAGAAUGAAGAGUUUAAACAUAGUUUUCUUUAUCUUGACACACAAGGUUAACCAAGGAUUAGGAGAGCAGGAUGAAGAGACUUCUUGUGAUCUGGAGCUGGGUUGCACCGAAACCUUUACAAUAGAUCCAGGGUUAAAAGAGCCAAAAUCCAAAACUCUCCAAGAUAUAGAGACAAAUUUAUUUAGAACAAACGGAGAUGUUUUGAAUCAAAUACUUGACUUUCAAAAUAAGGUAUUUUCUAGAUUGAUUGAUGGACUAUAUGGAUCACAGCUGUACACGACUAUACGACAACAUUAAUACAGACUUUAAUAUAAACAGGACUAUAGACCAAAUGAACAAAAGGACUACAGACCAAAUGAACAACAGGAGUACAGAACUACAGAACAAGAAAUAUGACUACACUGAUAUAGAACUACAGAACUUCAUAGCUAUAGGACUACAAGACAACAGGACUGAAUAUCAAUGUUUAGAAAAAUUUAAAAUUUAAAAAAAAUUAGAAAAAUACAGAAAUAUAGGGCUAAAUAACUAUUAGAAAACAGAACUACAGGACAACAGAACUACUGGACUACAGAACUACAGGAAUAUAUAACUACAUGACUACAGAACUACUGGACUAGAGAACUACAGGACUACAGAACUACUGGACUACAGAACUACUGCACUACAGAACUAAUGGCCUACAGAACUACAGGACAACAGAUCGAAAGGACAACAGAACGAAAGGACUACAGAACUACAGGACUACAGAACUACAGGACAACAGAGCUACAGAACCAUAGAACUACAUGACAACAGAACUACAGAACCACAGAACUACUGGACUACAGAACUACAGGACAACAGAACUUUAGGACAACAAAACUACAAGAGUACAGAACUACAUGACAACAGUACUAUAGUACCACAGAACUUCAGGACUACAGAGCUACAUGAAUACAGGAAUACAGGAAACCAGAACUAUAGGACAGCAGAACUAUAGGACAGCAGAACUAUAGGACAACAGAACUACAGGAAAACUGAACUACGGAACCACAGAACUAUAGAACCACAGAACUGCAGGACUACAGAACAACAGGACAACAGAACUACAGGACAACAUAACCACAUGAGAACAUAACCACAAGACUACAGAACUACAGGUCAACAGAACUUCAAAACCUUUAGAACUGCAGGACUACAGAACUAAAGGACUACAGAACUACAGGACUACAGAACUACAGGAUUAAAGGACUACAGAACUACAGGAAUACAGGAAUACAGGAAAAUAGAACUGCAGGAAAACAGAACUACAGGAAAACAGAACUACAGGAAAACAGAAC